This 468-nucleotide ribosomal RNA is filed under the name uncultured bacterium. RNAcentral describes it as "partial 16S ribosomal RNA". It matches the Rfam family "Bacterial small subunit ribosomal RNA", at positions 28 to 507 of the family's 1533-position model. The record is from RNAcentral.
GACGAACGCUGGCGGCGUGCUUAACACAUGCAAGUCGAACGGACAGGCCCUGCUUUUGUGGGGUGCUCGAGUGGCGAACGGGUGAGUAACACGUGAGUAACCUGCCCUUGUCUUUGUGAUAACUUCUCGAAACUGGGGCUAAUACCGGAUAUGAGCUCCUGCUGCAUGGUGGGGGUUGGAAAGUUUCGGCGGUUGGGGAUGGACUCGCGGCUUAUCCGCUUGUUGGUGGGGUAGUGGCUUACCAAGGCUUUGACGGGUAGCCGGCCUGAGAGGGUGACCGGCGACAUUGGGACUGAGAGACGGACCAGACGCCUACGGGAGGCAGCAGUGGAGAAUAUUGCACAAUGGGCGGAAGCGUGAUGCAGCAACGCCGCGUGCGGGAUGACGGCCUUCGGGGUGUAAACCGCUUUCGCCUGUGACGAAGCGUGAGUGACGGUAAUGGGUAAAGAAGCACCGGCUAACUACGUG